Molecule: transfer RNA, 76 nt
Filed under: Terriglobia bacterium
Lineage: Bacteria; Pseudomonadati; Acidobacteriota; Terriglobia
Description: tRNA-Lys
Rfam family: tRNA
About the family: Transfer RNA (tRNA) molecules are approximately 80 nucleotides in length.
Source: RNAcentral
GGAUCGUUAGCUCAGCCGGUAGAGCAUCUGACUUUUAAUCAGUUGGUCGAGGGUUCGAGCCCCUCACGAUCCACCA